This 253-nucleotide ribosomal RNA is filed under the name uncultured bacterium. RNAcentral describes it as "partial 16S ribosomal RNA". It matches the Rfam family "Bacterial small subunit ribosomal RNA", at positions 524 to 776 of the family's 1533-position model. The record is from RNAcentral.
UACGUAGGGUGCGAGCGUUAAUCGGAAUUACUGGGCGUAAAGCGUGCGCAGGCGGUGGCUCAAGCCAGGCGUGAAAUCCCCGGGCUUAACCUGGGAAUGGCGUUUGGGACUGGGUCGCUAGAGUGUGGCAGAGGGAGGUGGAAUUCCACGUGUAGCAGUGAAAUGCGUAGAGAUGUGGAGGAACACCGAUGGCGAAGGCAGCCCCCUGGGCUAACACUGACGCUCAUGCACGAAAGCGUGGGGAGCAAACAGG